GUGAAUCAUCAAAUUUUUGAACGCAUAUUGCACUCUCUGGUAUUCCGGAGAGUAUGCCUGUUUGAGGAUAAUUAAAAAGAAUCUUUAACCAAUUUUUUUUGGUCAAAGGAAAUGAGCUCUCCGCGUUUAUAGCGGUAGCUUGAAAUAAAUGGUCAAUCUCCUUUUUGGCGAGAAGCCUUAUAAUUUUAUUUC
RNAcentral lists this unclassified non-coding RNA (192 nucleotides) under Ambisporaceae sp. RNAcentral describes it as "partial contains 5.8S ribosomal RNA and internal transcribed spacer 2". The stretch from base 1 to 71 matches the Rfam family "5.8S ribosomal RNA", at positions 84 to 154 of the family's 154-position model. Lineage: Eukaryota; Fungi; Glomeromycota; Glomeromycetes; Archaeosporales; Ambisporaceae. The record is from RNAcentral.